RNAcentral lists this long non-coding RNA (499 nucleotides) under Lathyrus oleraceus (garden pea). Its description in RNAcentral is "Pisum sativum (pea) long non-coding RNA (PSAT_LNC039647)". The record is from RNAcentral. Lineage: Eukaryota; Viridiplantae; Streptophyta; Magnoliopsida; Fabales; Fabaceae.
UCAAUCAAAUUUCAUGGCUUUAGCUACAACAAUUUCAUCAUUCACACCAUUCAAUCAAAAUUCAUAGGUUUAACAUCAACAUUUUCAUCAUUCAUAGAAUUCAAUCAAAUUUCAUGGCUUUAACAACAACACUUUCAUCAUACACACAAUGCAAUCAAAUUUCAUGUUAACAUCAACAUUUUCAUCAUUCACAAAAUUCAAUCAAAUUUCAUGGGUUUAAAAACAACGUUUUCAUCAUUCACACAAUUCAAUCAAAUUUCAUAGGUUUAACAAAUUUCAUGGCUUUAACAACAACAUUUUCAUCAUUCGCACAAUUCAAUCAAAUUUCAUGGGUUUAACAACAACAUUUGCAUCAUUCACACAAUUCAAUCAAAUUUCAUAGGUUUAAUAUCUACCUUUACAUCAUUCAUACAAUUCAAUCAAAUUUCAUGGCUUGAACAACAACAUUUUCAUCAUUCACACAAUGCAAUCAAAUUUCAUGGGUUUAACAUCUACCUUU